Long non-coding RNA from Arabidopsis thaliana (thale cress), 444 nucleotides. RefSeq annotates it as other RNA. The transcript has a single exon. Lineage: Eukaryota; Viridiplantae; Streptophyta; Magnoliopsida; Brassicales; Brassicaceae. The record is from RefSeq.
GGCAACGCAUAAUAUUUUCAGUAUGUCCAUGCAAGAAUCAGAACACUGCAUUAGUGAUGCAUGGACUAUCUACCUUUGCAUGAGAAAAAAUCCCUGAAUUCCAAAUAUAAAGACAGGGGAAAGGACCAAAAAGAAGAAAAGAAAUGUGACUAAUGGUAAUACAAGAGACAUACAGCUCCCGGACGUGAAAGUGGCCAUCAUUAUGUGAUCUCCCGAAGCAUAUUAUGCCAGUCCAGUUUGAAUUGCACGGGUCACCCUUUGCCCAGUUACUUAAAUUUCUCAUAGGAUCAAUUAGACUCCUUUUGAUCUCCCGCAAAGCAUUUACUGCAAAAUGGAUAAAAAUAUAAGCAAACUUCUGGAAAGCAGUCUCCACGUUGUAGAAUGAUUUGGGUAGAGGGUGGAGCCUGAAACGCUACCAAUCAAACAUUGAGAGGAAGACUAGUG